UGGGGAAUAUUGCACAAUGGAGGGAACUCUGAUGCAGCGACGCCGCGUGAGUGAUGAAGGAAUUCGUUUCGUAAAACUCUGUUCUAUGGGAAGAAAAGGACUGUACCAUAGGAGAAAGCUCCGGCUAAAUACGUGCCAGCAGCCGCGGUAAUACGUAUGGAGCGAGCGUUGUCCGGAAUUAUUGGGCGUAAAGGGUGCGCAGGCGGCUUUACAAGUUGGAUGUGAAAUAUUGUGGCUCAACCACAAACGUGCAUCCAAAACUGCAAAGCUUGAGUUAAGGAGAGGUAAGUGGAAUUCCUGGUGUAGCGGUGGAAUGCGUAGAUAUCAGGAGGAAUACCGGUGGCGAAGGCGACUACUGGACUUAAACUGACGCUCAGGCACGAAAGCGUGGGGAGCAAACAGG
RNAcentral lists this ribosomal RNA (403 nucleotides) under Fusobacteriota bacterium. RNAcentral's name for it is "Fusobacteria bacterium partial 16S ribosomal RNA". It matches the Rfam family "Bacterial small subunit ribosomal RNA", at positions 355 to 776 of the family's 1533-position model. Lineage: Bacteria; Fusobacteriati; Fusobacteriota. The record is from RNAcentral.